RNAcentral lists this ribosomal RNA (246 nucleotides) under uncultured Pseudomonas sp. RNAcentral's name for it is "partial 16S ribosomal RNA". It matches the Rfam family "Bacterial small subunit ribosomal RNA", at positions 796 to 1041 of the family's 1533-position model. Lineage: Bacteria; Pseudomonadati; Pseudomonadota; Gammaproteobacteria; Pseudomonadales; Pseudomonadaceae. The record is from RNAcentral.
CACGCCGUAAACGAUGUCAACUAGCCGUUGGAAUCCUUGAGAUUUUAGUGGCGCAGCUAACGCAUUAAGUUGACCGCCUGGGGAGUACGGCCGCAAGGUUAAAACUCAAAUGAAUUGACGGGGGCCCGCACAAGCGGUGGAGCAUGUGGUUUAAUUCGAAGCAACGCGAAGAACCUUACCUGGCCUUGACAUGCUGAGAACUUUCCAGAGAUGGAUUGGUGCCUUCGGGAACUCAGACACAGGUGC